This 589-nucleotide ribosomal RNA is filed under the name uncultured bacterium. Its description in RNAcentral is "partial 16S ribosomal RNA". It matches the Rfam family "Bacterial small subunit ribosomal RNA", at positions 356 to 1375 of the family's 1533-position model. The record is from RNAcentral.
UGGGAAUCUUCCGCAAUGGACGAAAGUCUGACGGAGCAACGCCGCGUGUAUGAUGAAGGUCUUCGGAUUGUAAAGUACUGUCAUUGGGGAAGAACGGUUUUCUUGAAAAGAUUGAGAAGACAUGACGGUACCCAAGGAGGAAGCCCCGGCUAACUACGUGCCAGCAGCCGCGGUAAUACGUAGGGGGCAAGCGUUGUCCGGAAUUAUUGGGCGUAAAGGGCGCGUAGGCGGGCCUUUAAGUCCGGUGUGAAAGAUCAGGGCUCAACCCUGAGAGUGCAUCGGAAACUGGAGGCCUUGAGGACAGGAGAGGAAAGUGGAAUUCCACGUGUAGCGGUGAAAUGCGUAGAUAUGUGGAGGAACACCAGUGGCGAAGGCGACUUUCUGGACUGUAACUGACGCUGAGGCGCGAAAGCGUGGGGAGCAAACAGGAUUAGAUACCCUGGUAGUCCACGCCGUAAACGAUGAGUGCUAGGUGUAGAGGGUAUCGACCCCCUUCUGUGCCGCAGUUAACACAAUAAGCACUCCCGCCUGGGGAGUACGGCCGCAAGGUUGAAACUUAAAUGAAUUGACGGGGUCAUAGCUGUUUCCU